RNAcentral lists this long non-coding RNA (1143 nucleotides) under Equus caballus (horse). Its description in RNAcentral is "lncRNA (ENSECAG00000040797.2)". Lineage: Eukaryota; Metazoa; Chordata; Mammalia; Perissodactyla; Equidae. The record is from RNAcentral.
GUCUCUGUCUCUCUCUCCUUUUCUCUCCUUGCUGCAAUGAGAAGACACAGCAAGAAGACUUCUGUCUGCAAGCAAGGAAGAAGGCUCUCACCAGGAACCGAAUUGGUUAACACCUAAUUAUCUUGGACUUCCCAGCCUUUAGAACUAAAGACAACUGAAUAAAUUUGGUAGCAGAAUAGGAAGGAACAAAUACAUGAGCGUACUCGGAAUGAGAGAAGACAGCAGCAGGUAACAGAAGGUGGUUAAGUAAUGAAAUUUUUAGCAGCACAUGCCCACACCGUGGCCCCUUCCUGAUUCCUGUAAUGUACAUGUGGAAUCGACUGUGUAGAAGAGAAACUUCAGAGAUGCAUUGGUGUCAAUCAGGCACAUCCCUGGACCAGACUAUAUAUCCAAUUAAAGAUGUAUUGAGGACUAUCUCUCACACAUAUUGCCUGGCUAUGGGCCCUACCUUUGAGGAUGUGAUGUCUUUGGUGCCACAGACAUGCAUAAUCAGUGGACACAGAGAAAGCAUGAGUGAUUCAAAUGGACAUGGAAACAAGAACUGGAAAUUGGACGUCUGGUAUUCUCAUGGAUGGCUUGCAGGACUUCCUUAUGGGAUUUGGGUACGAAGGUCCCCCUCCACCGUCACCCAAGCUUUAUCGCCUCUGUCCUAGAUUAUUGCUUCUAGCAUUGAAGGGACAGUGAUAUGUAAAAUAUCCAGGACAAAGGAAACGGAAGAUACAGGUGAAAGUGAGUGAGGAAGCAGAGAAGGCAGAUCUUAGAAGCAGGGCCGACCACUACCACCAGCCCAACUGGAUAUACUGUGCUCAUCCUCAUGGGCAACUUCCUCAUCUUCAUACCUCAGAUUCAGUCUAGUUUAAUGCUUCUUGGACUUGGAUAAAGGGAUAGUUGGAGGGGAGGGGAUUUUAACAAUAAAAGAGAAAUAAGCACUUUUUAAUUAUUUGUAAUGGAAUAUAGCUUGUAUGUUUUAUGUUUAAGAACAGGAUUAAGAAGUGUGAAGUCAGUGAAUUCAGAGGAACAUAUUCCAUAUGCCAUUUAGUCAGACAGUGAAAGAAACAGGCCAAAAAAAAGAGGAAGUAGCUGUAGAAUUUUUAGAUUUUUUGUUUGUUUAUUUUGUUUUGUUUCUUUUUUUCCCUACAAAAG